This 340-nucleotide ribosomal RNA is filed under the name Lomentospora prolificans. RNAcentral describes it as "Scedosporium prolificans Eukaryotic small subunit ribosomal RNA". It matches the Rfam family "Eukaryotic small subunit ribosomal RNA", at positions 1 to 345 of the family's 1831-position model. The record is from Rfam by way of RNAcentral. Lineage: Eukaryota; Fungi; Ascomycota; Sordariomycetes; Microascales; Microascaceae.
UACCUGGUUGAUUCUGCCAGUAGUCAUAUGCUUGUCUCAAAGAUUAAGCCAUGCAUGUCUAAGUAUAAGCAAUUAUACCGCGAAACUGCGAAUGGCUCAUUAUAUAAGUUAUCGUUUAUUUGAUAGCACAUUACUACAUGGAUAACUGUGGUAAUUCUAGAGCUAAUACAUGCUAAAAAUCCCGACUUCGGAAGGGAUGUAUUUAUUAGAUUAAAAGCCAACGCCCUUCGGGGCUUCCUGGUGAUUCAUAAUAACUUUUCGAAUCGCAUGGCCUUGCGCCGGCGAUGGUUCAUUCAAAUUUCUUCCCUAUCAACUUUCGAUGCGAAGGUAUUGUCUUCGC